This 495-nucleotide ribosomal RNA is filed under the name uncultured bacterium. RNAcentral's name for it is "partial 16S ribosomal RNA". It matches the Rfam family "Bacterial small subunit ribosomal RNA", at positions 28 to 507 of the family's 1533-position model. The record is from RNAcentral.
GACGAACGCUGGCGGCGUGCCUAAUACAUGCAAGUAGAACGCUGAAGGAGGAGCUUGCUUCUCUGGAUGAGUUGCGAACGGGUGAGUAACGCGUAGGUAACCUACCUGGUAGCGGGGGAUAACUAUUGGAAACGAUAGCUAAUACCGCAUAAGAGUAGAUGUCGCAUGACAUUUGCUUAAAAGGUGCAAUUGCAUCACUACCAGAUGGACCUGCGUUGUAUUAGCUAGUUGGUGAGGUAACGGCUCACCAAGGCAACGAUACAUAGCCGACCUGAGAGGGUGAUCGGCCACACUGGGACUGAGACAAGGCCCAGACUCCUACGGGAGGCAGCAGUAGGGAAUCUUCGGCAAUGGACGGAAGUCUGACCGAGCAACGCCGCGUGAGUGAAGAAGGUUUUCGGAUCGUAAAGCUCUGUUGUAAGAGAAGAACGAGUGUGAGAGUGGAAAGUUCACACUGUGACGGUAUCUUACCAGAAAGGGACGGCUAACUACGUG